Molecule: ribosomal RNA, 434 nt
Filed under: uncultured Lachnospiraceae bacterium
Lineage: Bacteria; Bacillati; Bacillota; Clostridia; Lachnospirales; Lachnospiraceae
Description: partial 16S ribosomal RNA
Rfam family: Bacterial small subunit ribosomal RNA
Source: RNAcentral
ACGGGAGGCAGCAGUGGGGAAUAUUGCACAAUGGGGGAAACCCUGAUGCAGCAACGCCGCGUGAGUGAUGAAGUAUUUCGGUAUGUAAAGCUCUAUCAGCAGGGAAGAAGAUGACGGUACCUGACUAAGAAGCACCGGCUAAAUACGUGCCAGCAGCCGCGGUAAUACGUAUGGUGCAAGCGUUAUCCGGAUUUACUGGGUGUAAAGGGAGCGCAGGCGGUCCUGCAAGCCAGAGGUGAAAACCCGGGGCUCAACCCCGUGGAUUGCCUUUGGAACUGUGGGACUCGAGUACUGGAGGGGCAGCGGAAUUCCUAGUGUAGCGGUGAAAUGCGUAGAUAUUAGGAAGAACACCGGUGGCGAAGGCGGCUUUCUGGACUGUAACUGACACUGAGGCACGAAAGCGUGGGGAGCAAACAGGAUUAGAUACCCUGGUA